Molecule: non-coding RNA, 27 nt
Filed under: Cricetulus griseus (Chinese hamster)
Lineage: Eukaryota; Metazoa; Chordata; Mammalia; Rodentia; Cricetidae
Source: RNAcentral
CUGCAUACAUGAUAAAUAAAUAAAUCU